This 503-nucleotide ribosomal RNA is filed under the name uncultured bacterium. RNAcentral's name for it is "partial 16S ribosomal RNA". It matches the Rfam family "Bacterial small subunit ribosomal RNA", at positions 30 to 523 of the family's 1533-position model. The record is from RNAcentral.
AUUGAACGCUGGCGGCAGGCUUAACACAUGCAAGUCGAGCGGGGUGAUGGUGCUUGCACUAUCACUUAGCGGCGGACGGGUGAGUAAUGCUUAGGAAUCUGCCUAUUAGUGGGGGACAACAUCUCGAAAGGGAUGCUAAUACCGCAUACGUCCUACGGGAGAAAGCAGGGGAUCACUUGCGACCUUGCGCUAAUAGAUGAGCCUAAGUCGGAUUAGCUAGUUGGUGGGGUAAAGGCCUACCAAGGCGACGAUCUGUAGCGGGUCGGAGAGGAUGAUCCGCCACACUGGGACUGAGACACGGCCCAGACUCCUACGGGAGGCAGCAGUGGGGAAUAUUGGACAAUGGGGGGAACCCUGAUCCAGCUAUGCCGCGUGUGUGAAGAAGGCCUUAUGGUUGUAAAGCACUUUAAGCGGGGAGGAGGCUCUUUUGGUUAAUACCCAAGAUGAGUGGACGUUACUCGCAGAAUAAGCACCGGCUAACUCUGUGCCAGCAGCCGCGGUAA